This 458-nucleotide long non-coding RNA is filed under the name Carica papaya (papaya). RNAcentral describes it as "long non-coding RNA (CPAP_LNC009613)". The record is from RNAcentral. Lineage: Eukaryota; Viridiplantae; Streptophyta; Magnoliopsida; Brassicales; Caricaceae.
GAUUUAAGUUUUUUCGCAUGCUAAUGCAUAUUUGCGUUAAGUGAUCAAGUUGUUCUAAAUCUUGGCUUCCUACAUUAUUUAGUAUCAGAGUUUAGGCUUACCCAAUAAGUUGAUUCAAAUUUCCCAGCUCAACAAGAUGGUUAGAGCAACCUCACUUGAAGAACUCUCACUCUUAUAAUUUAGCAAAACUAAAUGUAAAGAAUAAACUAAAGUUUUAUUAGUUUGAAUUGAAUUUGUUUUUACAACCUAAUAUGAGGCCUUUUUAUAGGCUUUCAUCGAAUGUAUUCUUAAUAAAAUCAAAGAUUAAAUAUUUAGAACUCCUUUGAAAGAGAGUGAAAGAAUUUGACUAGGAAACUUGAGCUUCUUGGACGAUUUCUCCAUGUGCUUUUAUCUUGAAAGCUUGAUGUUUAUCUUGAAUUCUCUCUUUCACUUCAUAGAGAAUCCUUUUGGAUUAAAUU